Molecule: transfer RNA, 74 nt
Filed under: Magnetococcus marinus MC-1
Lineage: Bacteria; Pseudomonadati; Pseudomonadota; Magnetococcia; Magnetococcales; Magnetococcaceae
Description: Magnetococcus sp. MC-1 tRNA
Rfam family: tRNA
About the family: Transfer RNA (tRNA) molecules are approximately 80 nucleotides in length. Their secondary structure includes four short double-helical elements and three loops (D, anti-codon, and T loops). Further hydrogen bonds mediate the characteristic L-shaped molecular structure. tRNAs have two regions of fundamental functional importance: the anti-codon, which is responsible for specific mRNA codon recognition, and the 3' end, to which the tRNAs corresponding amino acid is attached (by aminoacyl-tRNA synthetases). tRNAs cope with the degeneracy of the genetic code in two manners: having more than one tRNA (with a specific anti-codon) for a particular amino acid; and 'wobble' base-pairing, i.e. permitting non-standard base-pairing at the 3rd anti-codon position.
Source: Rfam by way of RNAcentral
GGCGAGGUAGCUCAGCUGGUUAGAGCACAGGAUUCAUAAUCCUGGGGUCGGGAGUUCAAGUCUCCCUCUCGCUA